This 254-nucleotide ribosomal RNA is filed under the name uncultured bacterium. RNAcentral describes it as "partial 16S ribosomal RNA". It matches the Rfam family "Bacterial small subunit ribosomal RNA", at positions 524 to 776 of the family's 1533-position model. The record is from RNAcentral.
UACGUAGGGGGCGAGCGUUGUCCGGAUUUAUUGGGCGUAAAGGGCUCGUAGGCGGCUUGGCAAGUCGGGUGUGAAAGCUCCAGGCUCAACCUGGGGAUGCCACUCGAUACUGCCAUGGCUAGAGUCCGGUAGGGGACCACGGAAUUCCUGGUGUAGCGGUGAAAUGCGCAGAUAUCAGGAGGAACACCGGUGGCGAAGGCGGUGGUCUGGGCCGGAACUGACGCUGAUGAGCGAAAGCGUGGGGAGCGAACAGG